Molecule: long non-coding RNA, 371 nt
Organism: Antechinus flavipes (yellow-footed antechinus)
Lineage: Eukaryota; Metazoa; Chordata; Mammalia; Dasyuromorphia; Dasyuridae
Exons: 3
Source: RefSeq, a predicted model, not a curated record
UUCCCUCCCCCAUCCAUUGAGAUGGCAAGAAAUGCAAAAUCCAUUACAAAUAUGAUGUCAUAAGAAAGAAGUUCCUGCAUUACCCAUGUUCUGGGAGGAAAGAAAAGAAAAAGGAACAGAAAAAAAAUGCUUCGGUCCUCACUUUGUGUCCAUCAGUUUUCUAUCUGGAAGUGGAUAACAUUUUUCAUCAUGAGUCCUUUGGAACUGUGACCUCAGUUUCCUCAUCUGUAAAAUGGAGAUGCUAAUGGCCUCAUCACCUCAAGGGUUAUUGUGAGGAGCUAAUCAAAUACCUAUGUGAAGUACUUUGUAUCUCCACUGGCUGCCACAGAAACUGGAUGGAUACUUCAACAAGAAACAACAGAAGACCCGAC